UCCGGUUGAUCCUGCCAGAGGUCACUGCUAUCGGUGUUCGCCUAAGCCAUGCGAGUCAUAUGUUCUUCGUGAACAUGGCGUACUGCUCAGUAACACGUGGAUAACCUGCCCUUGGGACCGGCAUAACCCCAGGAAACUGGGGAUAAUUCCGGAUAAACCGUAUCUGCUGGAAUGCUUUAUGGUUCAAAUGGAUUCGUCCGCCCAAGGAUGGGUCUGCGGCCUAUCAGGUAGUAGCGGGUGUAAUGUACCUGCUAGCCUACGACGGGUACGGGUUGUGAGAGCAAGAGCCCGGAGAUGGAUUCUGAGACAUGAAUCCAGGCCCUACGGGGCGCAGCAGGCGCGAAAACUUUACAAUGCGGGCAACCGUGAUAAGGGGACACCGAGUGCCAGCAACAAUUGUUGGCUGUCCAUGUGCUUAAAUUGCAUGUGUUAGCAAGGGCCGGGCAAGACCGGUGCCAGCCGCCGCGGUAACACCGGCGGCCCGAGUGGUGAUCGUUUUUAUUGGGUCUAAAGGGUCCGUAGCCGGUUUAGUCAGUCCUCCGGGAAAUCUGCCAGCUUAACUGGUAGGCUAUCGGGGGAUACUGCUAGACUUGGAACCGGGAGAGGUAAGAGGUACUACAGGGGUAGGAGUGAAAUCUUGUAAUCCCUGUGAGACCACCUGUGGCGAAGGCGUCCUACCAGAACGGGUUCGACGGUGAGGGACGAAAGCUGGGGGCACGAACCGGAUUAGAUACCCGGGUAGUCCCAGCUGUAAACGAUGCUCGCUAGGUGUCAGGCACGGUGCGACCGUGUUUGGUGCCGCAGGGAAGCCGUGAAGCGAGCCACCUGGGAAGUACGGCCGCAAGGCUGAAACUUAAAGGAAUUGGCGGGGGAGCACAACAACGGGUGGAGCCUGCGGUUUAAUUGGAUUCAACGCCGGG
RNAcentral lists this ribosomal RNA (920 nucleotides) under uncultured archaeon. Its description in RNAcentral is "bacterial SSU rRNA". It matches the Rfam family "Archaeal small subunit ribosomal RNA", at positions 1 to 922 of the family's 1478-position model. The record is from RNAcentral.